Non-coding RNA from Pelobates cultripes (western spadefoot toad), 221 nucleotides. NCBI's taxonomy places the organism in Eukaryota, Metazoa, Chordata, Amphibia, Anura, Pelobatidae. The record is from the annotation of a GenBank genome assembly.
AUUCCAGGAAAUAAUCUCAAACAUAAAUUGAUUUCUAAAUGAGAUGUGAAGUAUGCACCUCGUUUUAGAGAUGUCUGCAUUUCCUGUAUAUUCUCUGAGUAGCUUACUGAGAUUCAUUUAUAUUCCCCAGUACCAGGAAACUCUGCUGGCAAUAAACUGGAUUUAGGAAAUCAGAUUUUUUUUGCUGACCAGAUCUGCUUUUCUGUAUAUGUGAGUGUGGG